This 468-nucleotide ribosomal RNA is filed under the name uncultured bacterium. RNAcentral describes it as "partial 16S ribosomal RNA". It matches the Rfam family "Bacterial small subunit ribosomal RNA", at positions 28 to 507 of the family's 1533-position model. The record is from RNAcentral.
GACGAACGCUGGCGGCGUGCUUAACACAUGCCAGUCGAACGGAAAGGCCCUGCUUUUGUGGGGUGCUCGAGUGGCGAACGGGUGAGUAACACGUGAGUAACCUGCCCUUGACUUUGGGAUAACUUCAGGAAACUGGGGCUAAUACCGGAUAGGAGCUCCUGCUGCAUGGUGGGGGUUGGAAAGUUUCGGCGGUUGGGGAUGGACUCGCGGCUUAUCAGCUUGUUGGUGGGGUAGUGGCUUACCAAGGCUUUGACGGGUAGCCGGCCUGAGAGGGUGACCGGCGACAUUGGGACUGAGAGACGGACCAGACUCCUACGGGAGGCAGCAGUGGGGAAUAUUGCACAAUGGGCGGAAGCCUGAUGCAGCAACGCCGCGUGCGGGAUGACGGCCUUCGGGUUGUAAACCGCUUUCGCCUGUGACGAAGCGUGAGUGACGGUAAUGGGUAAAGAAGCACCGGCUAACUACGUG